Long non-coding RNA from Hemicordylus capensis (graceful crag lizard), 9242 nucleotides. RefSeq lists it as uncharacterized. Lineage: Eukaryota; Metazoa; Chordata; Lepidosauria; Squamata; Cordylidae. The record is from RefSeq and is a predicted model, not a curated record. The transcript has 4 exons.
GAAUACUGUGUGGUUGUCUGACAGUAUUCAGACACAAAGUUGUGUGGUGAUAUUUCUUUCCUAGUUUGUUAAAUCAGUUGAAAUAUAUGUAGGCCAGGAUCCUGACUUAGUCCUACUUAGAGCAGACCCACCAUGAUGGUUAAGUGGUUCUGUUUAUAAGUGGUUGUGCAGUGUGUGGCUCUCCCUUCUUAUCACAGCAUGUCAGUUUUGCAGUUCCAGUUUGUGUAGCCAAUAAAAAGGGGUGGAAGAGAUGUGAAGAAUCUUUCACACUGAAAGUACUAUAUACAAAUUUAUGUUUAUGUGAGUGAUCUGUAGUGAUUAUAUGAUGGCUUGUGACCAUUUGUUGGGUUGUGCUAAUAUGUGAUGUAAUUGCUAAUGCUAGCCAUAUUACAAUAGUUUGCAGAAUGUAACUGUACAAAUAUUUCAAGACAACGACAGGCAAACCUCGUUACUCGGGAGGGUUCCAUUCCUCGCCUACUACCACGAGUUAAUGAAACUUCAGGUAACAAGGCAUUAUGCCUAUGGGGAAAGGAAGGUUACGUACCUAGAUUGAUUAAAAAGGGCAAAAAAAAAAAAGUCCAAAAAAUAAUGGGGGGAAUGACUGCAGAGAGCUCCAUGGAGCCUCCUUGUGCCCAGCAAUGCCCCCCAAACCAUGAAAUGCUCCUCAAAACAGUUAAAUUAGAGCAAAAAAGGGCAAAAAACAACAACAGUGCCAUGCUCUCCAGGAUCUCCUUGUUUCCUUGUGCCCAGCAAUACUCCCCAAGCAGCAAAAUGCCCCCCCAAAACUGCAAAAGCACAGAGAAAAUGUCUGUCUUCAACCAAGAUGAGCCACAAAAUGGCUCCUGCUUACAUGCUCCUUAGGAAUGCAUACAAUGGCGACAUGAAGUUACUUCACAGUCACUUAUGGACCUCUAGAAACCGUGGCUACAUGGGUUUUAACCCUUUUGUGUCAGCUGAUAAGGAAAUCAGGUGUCCUUUAGACACCCACAGAUACAGGAAAAUGUGGGUGGUGAGUCUGCAAAUAGCGAGGUUUCCCUGUAGAGCACAAAAGAAAGAAGGUGCCACUGUGGAUGUUUAUUGGGAUGAAUGACAGUAGAUGGAGGUGUGAGGUGUCUGCUAUACGGGGCCAGUGAUGGUGUCGCUUUAAACACGGUGGUGAAUUAAGAGUCCUCUGAUUUCUCAGAUAAACAGAUAUAUGCAUUUGAAGAGUGAAAUUUGAAAGGACAGAUGCCUCAAAAUCCUGAAGAAAUUUGUUAAGAGGACCAAUGACCAUUGCUGAGGCUAGUGACACAUCCUCUUUUAGGACAUCUCUUGGGCUAAUCUGCUCUUUGAGGGAGAGUUAGGCGAGGAGGAAGGAGGUGAGGUAGAGUUGGGUAGGAGAGAUAGAGGACAGAGACAGAGAGUGUGUGAGUCUGAGAGAGUGUUUGUGUCUCUGAGUGUGUUUUUGUGUGUUAGAGUGUUAGAGAUAGCAUUGGAAGGAAUAUAGGAGGGGGCAUAGUAAGCUUUUAGUAACAGGAGGGAUAGUUAGACAGGGAGGGAGAAAGGGAAAGAAAUGGGAGAGAAGAUGAGGGAAGAUUUCUUUGCCUCAAAAGUAGGAUUUUAUAGCAGUUUCGCCAUUCUCCUUCUGUUCCUGGGCCAGUUCUGACUAUAGUCCCCUGCCCACAUGAUUAGGAAUGGAACCAGGCAUGAACACACCUAUUGUUUAUGAUGCCCUCCAUGGAUGCCCCAACUGGACGAAAUCAAAGGUAUCCAUACAAUCCCCAUGAAAUUAUUCACACAUCAACUAGAGAAUGAGAGGCACCACCUCUCCAAAUGUGGUGCAAAUCCAUUGCAAACUGGUUGAGGUACAGCAGUUCAAAGCUUUAACUCAAAAAGAGGAUUCAAAGUGUUGGCAACCUUUUUUUCACCACAGAUAGAAGCUUUUCUCAUGACCAGCCUAACCCUGCCUGGGCUGCCCCCCAAGGAGGGUUAGACUGGUCAUGAGAAGCGGCAGGAUCCUCGCGGAUCCCUCUGCUCCCCUCCUGCCUAACCCCUUUAAUAAACCCAGCUUUUAGCAGAGGUACCAAGAAUUGUGUGAUUCCUCAGGCUAUGUGCAGCCCGAGGAGUCACAGAGACGGGCAAAUAGAGCACCCUUCUGAGGGGGCAAUCCCCAACCCAAUGUGUGUGCCACGUGUUGCAUUGAGGGGUAUCUGGAGGCCAGAACCAGUUCUGGCCCCAGAUCCUUCUGCCCUGCUCUGUGCUUCACGGAGUUGCACAGAGCAGGCCUGUCUAUGUGAGUGCGUGGGAGACGCGCUGAAGCCGACCUGCUUGGUCAUCUGGGGGAAGGUAAGUGUAAAGCAGCCUUCCCUCCGUGCCCGCCCAGGGCAAUCGUGUGAAUAGCCUUACUAUGUAUAUUUUAAAAUGUUUGGUGCCUCUUUACUGAUCCAUUCAGCUCCAUUCUGGAUUGGUGGUGCCUUUUGCUGGCUUGGAAAAUCAUCCACCCGGUAGUAUUUGAAUGAUUAUUGUUCGAAACUUCCACAAUAAUGGGGAAAAUAACUAAGGGAAAGUUAGCUAAGAGCAUAACAGUCUGCUAAUUGAGAAUUCUAAAAAUAUGAUAAAUAAAUAAAAUACAUUCUGAAGCCAAAGUUGGGAGGGGCAAGUCCUGGCAAUUUCUAGUGAGUGACUUCCUGGUUCUUCACUUGACCAUAUGUAAGAAAUGAAGCCUCCAUAUUCAAAGGCAUCUUGACUAUCAUGUAGAACAUCCAUGAUCAAGGGCAGUCUACACCACAAUAAUAGUUUGUUGGCACUGGUUUCUGGGAUUUCUUUACUGCUUUCUGAAAGCAUGUAGUUGAGCACUGUGAGAAAGAGGAUGCUGGGCUGAGUAUCCAUGCCUUUUCCAGCAACAUUUUGAUAACUGAAACUGCCAUUAUAUGUGCACAUCUAGAAGGAAGAAAACACCAUUAAACUCAGUGGGGCUUGCUUCCAUAUAAUGAGUGAACAGUUAAACAAUCCCUGAAAAAAGGUCUUAGAACAGGGCUGCUCAACUUCUUCUCUCCUGCAGAUGUUGGCCUACAGUUCCCAUAAUCCCUGGCUAUUGGGCACUGUGGCUGGGGAUUAUGGGAGUUCAGAAACAGCUGGGGGGCCUAAAUUGAGCAGGCCUGGUCUUAGGGGAGGGGAGAAUAAUGGAAAGGUCCUUUUGAAAAUGUGGGUGGAAAACAACAUAACGAUCCUGUGAGGUAAACCCACCAGCACACACACACACCCCCACUCAGGACAUAGAUUGUUUUCACAUAAUCUGAAAUUAGCUACAGCAUCCCACAGGGCAAAUAAUUUGUUAUUAAUAUUCUUGUUUUAUAUAUACUAAUUCCUCCUUUCCUACUUUGUAGAGAAUACAGAAAGAAAGAAAUUGAUUUACAUAAUGAACAUUACUCAAAGUAAUCCUACUGAAAUUAAAAGGACAUAUUAAGGAAAGUCUAGUGUCCUUUUAAUUGCAAAGAGACUACUUUGAGUGAGCCAUUAUCUUAUCAGCCAUUAACCAUUAAGUGGAGGCCUGAGGCUUAAAGGGGAGAAAUCUACUCUGUUUAUGCUUAGAGGCGAAGUCACUUGUGUACAACCUUUAAAAUGUACUUCUUUCUAGACAGCAGAAAAAGAGACAGACACUGAUAAAUAUCAUUUAAGGUUGCCACAACUUUAUUAAAAGGAGAAGAGCCAAGGGCAAAAGAGCUCAUAUCAACUCCUCAGGGCACAACUGCAGAGAAGUUAAAAUGGGCACCUUAAUUUGGAGUCCCCAUGCUUUUUAGAGCACAAGUGUAAAUAUGAAGCAUCUUAACUCUCAUCUUAAAAUUAAAAAGAAAAUUGGAUUACUGAAUUUGCAGGCAUUUUAAAAAGGGAAAUCUGAUCGGACACUAUAGGGAAGACCUUUGCCAUGCUGGUUCAGUGGAGUCUUCACAUUUUUUGGUGUUAUACCUUUGACGUUCAGACUGUUCAAAGACAGUUUGCCAGCACCUUAGGUCCAUCUAGCUCCAUAUUGUCUACACAGACUGGCAGCAGCUUCUCCAAGGUGGCAGGCAGGAGUCUCUCUCAGCCCUAUCUUGGAGAAGCCAGGGAGGGAACUUGGAGCCUAGAUGCUCUUCCCAGAGUGGCUCCAUCCCCUGAGGGGAAUAUCUUACAGCGCUCACACAUCAAGUCUUCCAUUCAGAUGCAACCAGGGCACACCCUGCUUAGCUAAGGGGACAAGUCAUGCUUGCUUCCGCAAGACCAGUUCUCCUCCCAGGCUUAAACCAGACUUAGUGCUCGUGUGUCAGUGCCACGUGGACUCCUGGCCAUCAUAUUGCACAGUGUAUUAUAGGAGUUCCAGGGUCUGGGAAGACGCAUCCCAACUCCCGACACUCCACGCUGCCGGCAGUAACCGGUAAUCGUCUGGGCGGGCAAUCCGCCUGCCGAGGAAGGAGACCUCAAUCGUCUGCCAGGGAGGUCUCUUUCAAGAACAGCUAAUAGACCUGCGGUCGGAAGACUCUUGCCGCAAAUGACGCUUUGAGUGAUCAGAGGAGAUGAUCAAACAGCCCGCUAUUUCCUCCUCCUCGGGUUGAUUGAAUGACUGGUAAAGAUAAGGGAGGAGAGCUCAUGGUAAACAAAAUAUUUGCACUUUUGCAUUGGGAUGCCUUAGUUUUGAGGGAGUGGGCAAAAAUAGAGCCAUUUGCACCACACACCCAUGCAGAGCUAGCUGAUGAUUUGGGGUAUAUCUGCCCUGAGCAAGCCACAUGAUUUUGGACUCUGUUAGGAUUAUAUUAUCCAAUAGACUCUCAUACAUGCGAGCUAUGGCUGCUGCCCCUUGCUCCUUUCCCCUUUCUUCUGCACCCUAUUCUCAGGGAGGCAUUUGGAUUGAACUUUGCACACCCAAUGCACCUAGGAUGGAUAGGCAUCGCCACAGCUAUCUCUCUCCAGGCUCUGCCACCUCUUUACCUCCCUCUCCACUCUUUCUACCCAGGCACUUUUAUCCAAGAUUUCUAAGUAAGCUCGCUUGAUUUUCUAUGAAAUACUAGCCAGUUUAUUAGGCCUCCUAACCAAACUCCCUUUUCUUUUUGUAACUCCCCAGUUUUACUUUAAAUAAAGCUUUGAAACUGUAAUCACAUCUCUCUCCUCAUUUCCAGUACUCAGACUUGCUUUAAUUAAUGCUGUGUCAGAACUUCACUCCAAUUUGAGUUAAUUUCCCUACUUUAACCCAAAAAGCAUAGCCAGAGCAUCCUGCCAGCACUUCUGUGCAGUUCUGGUAACAGAUGGGCACCUUAACUUGCAAUUUCCGAUCUCAAGUUAAAAUAUAAAGCAUCUUAACUCUCAUCUUAAACCAAAGGUUUUUAGAUUACUGAAUUAUAUUAGCAGAACUGUGACAUAAUGAAAGGUUCUUUGGUCAGAGUUUUCUCCACCAUAUUAGCUCCUUCUGUUACAGGAGGAUAAAUUUCCCUUUUUAUAGAAAAACUGCUGAUUUUGAUCAUUAUUAUUUGGAGGAUCCUGUAGUAUUUUAAGCCUUGUUUCACAAAGAAUAUUACCAAUGCCUUUAUUUAUUUAUUUAUUUAACUUAUAUACUGCCCAAACCUUUGUCUCUGGGCGGUUCCAGAUAAUAGGCUUAUUAUAGGCCUCAAUAACUAGGUUGGGCACAGAAUUUAUCUUCAGAAUACCACCUCCACUUUAGCAGCACAGAUCUCUUUUCUCUUUGUGCUUUGACAACACAUUGUUAUUAUGGGAUAUUUUAAGUCUGCAUACUUGGCAACACUCCACUCAGUCCAACAGAGUGUUCAGGAUCCAAAUUUUAAAGUUUUCAAAAUUAUAUUUUGACUAAAGUUCUAUAAAUUACCUACCAAAUAAUAUAAUCAUGUGAGCACAGAACACAAGGUAAAACUUCCUGAUGUUGAGCACCAAAAACAUAAUUGAAGCUGUUACAAAGAUUAAUCCCCCCACACACACACAAACACGCAUAAAAUCCCACAAUUAAAUGAAAUUAUAGGAUUCAUAAUCGUGGCAGUGUGAUCCCACCUCAUGAUUAUUCAGCAGUAAAUAAAGGACACAACAAGGAACAUAGGAAGCUGCCGUAUACUGAGUCAGACCACAGGUCCAUCAAUCUAAUUAUUGUUUACCCAGACUGGCAGCGGCAUCUCCAAGGUUGCAGGCAGGAAUAUCUCUCAGCCCUAUCUUGGAGAUGCCAGGGAGGGAACUUGAAACCUUCUGCUUUUCCCAAAGCAGCUCCAUCCCCUGAGGGGAAUAUCUUCCAGUGUUCACACAUCAAGUCUCCCAUUCAUAUGCAACCAGGGCACACCCUGCUUAGCUAAGGGGACAAGUCAUGAUUGCUACCACAAGACCAGCUCUCCUCUCCUGGUAAUUUGUGUUCACUUUAAAUCUGCACUUCAUUUCCCCCCUUUAUCUUAAACACACACACACACACACACACACACCAAUGAUCAUUAAAAACAACAACUGUUUUAGACUCCAUGUCCAAAACUAGAUUCUCUUCUCAGAAAUUUCCCACAAAUCUCACAGUUCUCCUGCUUGAUUUAAUUCCCUCCAGGAUGGUGUUAUCAGCAAAGCUGUCUCCUGAAACAGUGGUAGGCCUUAAGUCAAUCUGGCUGAAAUCGUAGGCCUUACUCUGCUUUAUUAGCCAUUUAGAGAACACCCCCCCCAUCUUGAAACCCCAACUCUUUUAAGGGAUGGAAACUUAGAAGAGCCCUUGUAUCUUCUUCCUUUUCUCCUUCCUUCCCUCAGGCCAGGCAGGCCUUGAGAAGCAGCAGCCCCCACCCCCUUUCCAGGGCCUGUUCUCUGGCUACGCUUGAGCUCUGAGCAGCUGAUAUGUGCUCUUCUGACUUUAGCUCUUCUUCUUCUAAUUAAAUUGUGCCAUGUUCAGGCAGCUGUAUCUACCCAAUUUCUCAGUCACUGUUCAGUAUCUUGAAACCUACUGGGCUACCUGUAUUGAUGCCCUGGCUGUUCUGCAAUAAUUCCCUGUCCCUUUGGUCUCCUCCCCAUGCAAAUGUCUGCUUAAGGGUCUUUUUCUCACUUUUUCCCUGCUCUCUUCUAGGCUGUGAAGAGUCUUCAGCUUCUGCAGGAGGCUGCAUAAGGUUGCCCCCAUCAAUGACUCCAUUAAGGGCAAGUCCCCCAAAUGGAAGUUCGGGGGGGGGGAAUCAGCUACAUUGAACGAACUUCAGCAUAGAGUUACCAGUCUUGGAGUUCCCAAAUGGAAGUUCUGGAAAAAAAUUUAGCUACAUUGAACCAACUUCAGCAUGGAGUUCCCAGUCUUCAGGAAUCAUCAUAAGUGAGGAGGUACCCCAGGCUCCUGGGGAAUUAUUGGGACUUGGGUUAAAUGUUUUAGGAGGGCGGGGCAGCUAGUGCUUAGGAGCCUGACAGAUUUGUGAGUCUGAAUUAAAAGUGGUGUGUUAGGCUUAAAGAAGGUGUGUUCGGAUUAAAGAAGCGAAGACAAAUGGAAAAGAGACUCUGGACAAUGAGAAAGAUGAGGCUGCUGAAGCCAUUUUGGUGGGUGAAAUGCAGCAGAGAAUGGAAGAGAAUGACCAAGCAUAGGCUCAGUCAAAACCUGACUACCAAGACUGUGUGGGGCUGGAGCUAUCCUAAUGAAGUCCAUGAAUACUGACAGAUUCUCUUCUGCUCUUUGACCUCUCCCAGGAGAUCAUGCAGAAAGCCAAUUUACAUCUGGACCCUGGGUUCCUAUCGACACCUGCAAUAGACACCAUCACAGAGCUAAAGUAUACUCAUUGUCAUUAGGGUUUUAAUUGUAGGGGGUUGUGUCAGGAAAGCGUAGUGGCAAACUAGACCAGUUCUGUAGUGGGACUUCCCCUUUAAAAAAAUAUGGCAAUUCUAAGGGUUAAAUAAAAUUUGGUUAAGUACUAUGGAUUUACUGUAACCUUAAGAGGCGCAGUGGGGAAAUGCUUGACUAACAAGCAGAAGGUUGCUGGUUCAAAUCUCUGCUGGUACUAUAUCAGGCAGUAGCGAUAUAGGAAGAUGCUGAAAGGCCAUCAUCUCAUACUGCAUGGGAAGAGGCAAUGGUAAACCCUUCCUGUAUUCUACCAAAGAAAACCACAGGUGCCAGGAGUCAAAAUCGACUUGACAGCACACUUUACUUAUUAUGGAUUUAUCCAAAUCAGAGCCUCCACAAAACUAGAUCUGUCAUUUUUGAAAAAAGAGAAGAAAGGCAUCAAAGACCUACAGCAUUUAUGUUUGCCUAGUUGCCACUUUUCUCUUAUAUAUGUGAGCGUUGGUUGACUGGAUCACCAGUCCUCACACUACAAAAUCUAAUAUUUUUCUUUCCAGCUAAAUGAAGCCAGCUUUGCCAUUCAAACUAAAACAGCAAUCCUGCACAUGGUAGUGACAGCAUUACGCCAGCUGGACCCAGGGACAGACAGUCAAGUAAAUUCUUAUUGAGCUUUUUUCUCCUGUGGCACAAACUCCUGCUGUUUCGGCUCCUGGGGUCCUGUCUCUUUUGAGACCACUGAAGAAUCUUUUAUAUAAACAAACCAUGGCGGCACUCCAGAGGAUGAUCAGAGGAGUGCUGGAUGAGGCUCCCUCUGUUGAGAACUUAAUCAAAAUGUUGAAUCUGGAAACAUUGAAGGAUUGUUUUCCUAAGGAAGUGAGGAACCUUCAUUUUCAAGAGGAGUUGGCUCAGGAGAAGAAAAGCACCAUCAAAGCUGGAAACAUUGAAGGAUUAUUUUCCUAAGGUGAGGACACUUCGUUUUCAAGAGGAGUUGGAUCAAGAGAUUAAAAGCACCAUCAAAGAUAACGUCUAUUUCCAGGGAACUGGGGAAGGCAGAACUGUAUUCUUAGAAGCCCAGAAUGGGCCCGGGCGACUCGUUCUCCACAACAAAGGCCACCAUUCAUUCAAGGAGUAUCAGUUUUGCUCUGACAUCUCUGUGGCAGGCCUCCUGAGAGGGCAGGUCUCAAACUUCCAACCCUUCUCAUAGAGGCAAACAGUUCUUUCUGAAGAAGUCCUUGCAGCUAGACUAGAGGUCUAGAAGCCAUUGUUGCCCCUCGCCUUGGCAACCCCAGUGGAAAAAGUGACCCAUUAGACCCUCUUCCAUUUAUUCAACAUACAGAAGUCCCUUCUCACCUCUUAUCUAAGUUGGUUAAAAUAAGAAUAUUAAAUAUUUUUCUUGACCUCUUCAGACUAUCUCAUAUUAGAAGAUUUUAAUGAAGAGGAGGAGUUUGGCUGAUUGCCCAUUUUCUUUUUUUAAUGUUACGAUCUAAUAAAACAGUAGUUUAUUUAGCAAGCA